Molecule: ribosomal RNA, 368 nt
Filed under: uncultured organism
Description: bacterial LSU rRNA
Rfam family: Bacterial large subunit ribosomal RNA
Source: RNAcentral
CUUUACUAUAGCCUGGAAUUGUGUUCGGGCUUUUCUUGCGCAGCCUAGGUGGGAGGCUAUGAAGAUUUCCUUCCGGGGAAGUUGGAGCCAUCAGUGAGAGACCACUCUGGGGAGGCUAGAAUCCUAAUGGUGAUCCUUGAAUCAGGACACUUGACAGUUUCAGGUGGGCAGUUUUUCUGGGGCGGAAGCCUCAUAAAGGGUAACUGAGGCGCGCAAAGGUCCCCUCAGUCUGGACGGAAAUCAGACAACGAGUGUAAAGGCAAAAGGGGGCUUGACUGCAAGACCUACAAGUCGAGCAGGAGCGAAAGCUGGCCUUAGUGAUCCGACGGUACCGUGUGGAAGGGCCGUCGCUCAACGAAUAAAAGUUA